This 655-nucleotide ribosomal RNA is filed under the name uncultured bacterium. RNAcentral describes it as "bacterial SSU rRNA". It matches the Rfam family "Bacterial small subunit ribosomal RNA", at positions 1 to 653 of the family's 1533-position model. The record is from RNAcentral.
CCCUUAGAGUUUGAUCCUGGCUCAGAUUGAACGCUGGCGGCAGGCCUAACACAUGCAAGUCGAGCGGAUGAAAGGAGCUUGCUCCUGGAUUCAGCGGCGGACGGGUGAGUAAUGCCUAGGAAUCUGCCUGGUAGUGGGGGACAACGUUUCGAAAGGAACGCUAAUACCGCAUACGUCCUACGGGAGAAAGCAGGGGACCUUCGGGCCUUGCGCUAUCAGAUGAGCCUAGGUCGGAUUAGCUAGUUGGUGAGGUAAUGGCUCACCAAGGCGACGAUCCGUAACUGGUCUGAGAGGAUGAUCAGUCACACUGGAACUGAGACACGGUCCAGACUCCUACGGGAGGCAGCAGUGGGGAAUAUUGGACAAUGGGCGAAAGCCUGAUCCAGCCAUGCCGCGUGUGUGAAGAAGGUCUUCGGAUUGUAAAGCACUUUAAGUUGGGAGGAAGGGUUGUAGAUUAAUACUCUGCAAUUUUGACGUUACCGACAGAAUAAGCACCGGCUAACUCUGUGCCAGCAGCCGCGGUAAUACAGAGGGUGCAAGCGUUAAUCGGAAUUACUGGGCGUAAAGCGCGCGUAGGUGGUUUGUUAAGUUGGAUGUGAAAUCCCCGGGCUCAACCUGGGAACUGCAUCCAAAACUGGCAAGCUAGAGUAUGGUA